This 240-nucleotide unclassified non-coding RNA is filed under the name Melanospora damnosa. Its description in RNAcentral is "partial internal transcribed spacer region". The stretch from base 1 to 46 matches the Rfam family "Eukaryotic small subunit ribosomal RNA", at positions 1786 to 1831 of the family's 1831-position model. Lineage: Eukaryota; Fungi; Ascomycota; Sordariomycetes; Coronophorales; Ceratostomataceae. RNAcentral also lists the same sequence under 1 other name. The record is from RNAcentral.
AAGUCGUAACAAGGUCUCCGUUGGUGAACCAGCGGAGGGAUCAUUACAGAAUCUGACCAUAGCGUCAUGGCUCUGCCGACCCCGUGAACAUUAUAUCUGUACGUUGCCUCGGCGGACCCUGCCUUUAGGCAGGCCGCCGGUUGGCAUAUACGCAAACGCUCUGAAGAAGCUCCGCGCUCCAUCUGAACGUAGAAAAUUUUUAACGAGUAAAAACUUUUGGCAACGGAUCUCUUGGCUCUG